AAUCUACCCAGCUCUACGGAAUAACUCAGGGAAACUUGUGCUAAUACCGUAUACGUCCGAUAGGAGAAAGAUUUAUCGGAGUUGGAUGAGCCCGCGUUGGAUUAGCUAGUUGGUGGGGUAAUGGCCUACCAAGGCGACGAUCCAUAGCUGGUCUGAGAGGAUGAUCAGCCACACUGGGACUGAGACACGGCCCAGACUCCUACGGGAGGCAGCAGUGGGGAAUAUUGGACAAUGGGCGCAAGCCUGAUCCAGCCAUGCCGCGUGAGUGAUGAAGGCCCUAGGGUUGUAAAGCUCUUUCACCGGUGAAGAUAAUGACGGUAACCGGAGAAGAAGCCCCGGCUAACUUCGUGCCAGCAGCCGCGGUAAUACGAAGGGGGCUAGCGUU
This 385-nucleotide ribosomal RNA is filed under the name Aminobacter aminovorans. Its description in RNAcentral is "bacterial SSU rRNA". It matches the Rfam family "Bacterial small subunit ribosomal RNA", at positions 123 to 542 of the family's 1533-position model. The record is from RNAcentral. Lineage: Bacteria; Pseudomonadati; Pseudomonadota; Alphaproteobacteria; Hyphomicrobiales; Phyllobacteriaceae.